GAGCUCAUUGGUCAUCAUAACGGAGUCUAUUGAAAGUCCUCAGCAGGUGGUGUGACGAUGUGACCAGCUCUGGCCAAGGAGCUGUAAGCAGAAGUGUCUUGCAGCAGCUCCUGUAAAUCUUAAAAGACAGCUGGUGCAUGUCUUUUUUUCCUUUUUUUUUUUUCCCCUUUCUCCUUCCUGCUGCGCCGAAUAUGGAUAUGGUGAGUGAAUCUAGAGCAGUCGUUUGGAGGUAUGAAGAGAUCCUGGAAAUAGAGGCCAUGUGUAUUGAAACAAAGACUGAACAACUCCAAGUUCCUGAAGACUUCAUUUCACCAACCUAGAACCUCCUUGUUCAUCACAGUGGCCGAACCAUUUUACGUUUUCACCAGCAACGAAGGAGGGUUCCUGUUGCUCUACCAUUUGGUACUGUCCGUGUUUUGGAUAUUAACCAUCCUAAUAGCCUUUGCAUGGAUGAUUGUCUGUCCUCUGUUGGGCCCCUUCUGAAGAGUUGGAGUUGGACUCUGAACACCUCAAGAGUGGGAGAUUGGUCUUGUUAAUCAGAGAAGCUCCAGGUCUAGCCUAGUACCUGGCACAUGCUUUAUACAAUUAUUUCCAAAUCUUCCAAACUGACAGUGAGGGAGAGUAAUUUGAAAGGACUGCUCAACUCACAUCAUUUGAAGAUUUGCACCAUAGCUGCAUUUUUCCAAUUUCCUGGCAUCUAUUCUGCUCUCCUGGACUUUUCAAAAACAAUUGUAAGUGGAUGAAUAAAUAUAAUAACUGAUUCCAUUGAUACUCUUGGACCAUCCUUUGGACUUUCUUCUUUUGGACAUUUUACAGUUUAAAAUGUAUUUAGCAUCUAUCGAUGUUUCCAAAAGAAGGACUCAAAGUACACACUGUCAAAGAUCUCAUGGAUCUAAUUAAGGAUAGGGAACAUGUACAGAGUCAUACGAUGUCUCUACACAGAGGGGAUAAUUUCUGAAAGAAAGAAGAAAGUUAGCAAAUUCCUUAAUCACCCUUAUGAUUAUGACUAUGCAAUUGAAUUUGUCUACUUCAUCAGCUUUGGGAAUAAAAUAAGGCCGUACACUUUUCA
Mandrillus leucophaeus (drill) is the source of this 1069-nucleotide long non-coding RNA. RefSeq lists it as uncharacterized. Lineage: Eukaryota; Metazoa; Chordata; Mammalia; Primates; Cercopithecidae. The transcript has 5 exons. The record is from RefSeq and is a predicted model, not a curated record.